GAAAGUAAUUAAGGGCGUAUGGCGGAUGCCUAGGCUCACGGAGGCGAUGAAGGACGUGAUAAGCUGCGAUAAGCCUCGGGUAGAUGCAAAUAAUCUUUGAUCCGAGGAUUUCCGAAUGGGACAACCUGACUGUCUGAAGGAUAGUCACCCAUAUAUUUUUUAUGGGAGCAAACGCAGGGAACUGAAACAUCUUAGUACCUGUAGGAAAAGAAAAUAAUUUAAUGAUUCCCCUAGUAGUGGCGAGCGAACGGGGAAUAGCCCAAACCUAUGACGUAGUAAUGCGUGAUAGGGGUAGUAGGGUCACGAUAUCGUACUUUGAAAGUGAGGAGAAUGUUCUGGAAAGUUCAAUAAUAUAAGGUGAUAAUCCUGUAUCCGAAGCUUGAUGAGACGUAGUGAAUCCCUGAGUAGUGCGGAGCACGAGUAAUUCUGCAUGAAUCUGCCGGGACCAUCCGGUAAGGCUAAAUACUCCCGUGAGACCGAUAGUGAAUUAGUACCGUGAGGGAAAGGUGAAAAGCACUCCAAUGAGGAGAGUGAAAUAGUUCCUGAAACCAUACGCCUACAAGCGGUCGGAGCAUAUAUAUAUGUGACGGCGUGCCUUUUGCAUAAUGAACCUACGAGUUACCAUGUCCAGCGAGGUUAAGGGGUUCAGCCCCGUAUCCGUAGUGAAAGCGAGCCUAAAUAGGGCGUAUAGUUGGAUGGGGUAGACGCGAAACCAAGUGAUCUACACUUGACCAGGUUGAAGUUCUGGUAACACAGAAUGGAGGACCGCACGGAUAAGCGUUGAAAAGCUUCCCGAUGAGUUGAGUGUAGGAGUGAAAGGCCAAUCAAACUUGGAGAUAGCUCGUACUCCCCGAAAGGCAUUUAGGUGCCGCGUGCAUCGAUCUCCAUAAGAGGUAGAGCGACCGAUAGGUCAAGAGGGCUUCACCGCCUAUCGAGACCUGACGAACUCCGAAUGCUUACGCUUUGCAGUCGUGCAGUAAGGGGGCGGGUGCUAAGGUCCGUCCCCGAGAGGAGAAGAAUCCAGACCGCCGUCUAAGGUCCCGAAAUUCUGUCUAAGUUAGUCUAACGAAGUCUGGUCCCCGUGACAGCUAGGAUGUUGGCUUGGAAGCAGCCAUUCAUUCAAAGAGUGCGUAACAGCUCACUAGUCGAGGGUCCGGGCAUGGAUAAUAAUCGGGUAUAAGUCAGAUACCGAAGUCGCGGGAUAGCAUUGUAUAUAAAAAGUAUCGGUAGGGGAGCAUUCUAUAUGCGUUGAAUGGUGAUAUUGAUUGAUCCUGGAGCGUAUAGAAACGCAAAUGUAGGUAUAAGUAACGAUAAAGGGGGUAAGAUUCCCCCUCGCCGUAAGACUAAGGUUUCCCAGGCGAUGUCAAUCAGCCUGGGGUUAGUCGGGUCCUAAGUCUCAGCCGAAUGGCGAAGGCGAUGGCUUCACGGUUAAUAUUCCGUGACUUGCUCAUUCAGCGAUGUGGAGACGGAGCAGUGACACUGUCGCGCCCUUACGGAUAUGGGCGUUAAAGAAGUUAGGUGUAGAUAGAUGUAGGCAAAUCCGCAUUUAGAGCUGAUCUUCUAUAGUACAGAGUUUUCUUCGGAGAGCUUUGAUAGUACAGGUAAUCAUACUUCCAAGAAAAUCCGCUAAGCUUAAUGUUUGAGCAACCCGUACCGUAAUCGGACACACGUAGUCGGGUAGAACAUACUAAGGCGUUGAGAGAUUCAUGGUUAAGGAACUAGGCAAAUUGACCCCGUAACUUCGGGAUAAGGGGUCCUCAUAGCAAUAUGAGGCGCAGAGAAUAGGUCCAGGCAACUGUUUAACAAAAACACAGGGCUGUGCUAACUCGAAAGAUGAUGUAUACAGUCUGACACCUGCCCGGUGCUGGAAGGUUAAGAGGAGAGCUUAUUCUUCGGAAGAAGGUUUGAAUUGAAGCCCCAGUAAACGGCGGCCGUAACUAUAACGGUCCUAAGGUAGCGAAAUUCCUUGUCGGGU
Molecule: ribosomal RNA, 1975 nt
Filed under: human metagenome
Description: bacterial LSU rRNA
Rfam family: Bacterial large subunit ribosomal RNA
Source: RNAcentral